UGGAAACGCGGGAAAGUGUUCAGUGAGCUUUUCCACUUUUCACGAAUUAUUUUCCCCCUGAAAAGCGUUUUUCAGUGACAGGUCGGCGACUUGCCAUUGUCGUCGCCGUUUGAAACUCGAGCAUUCCCGAAAAAUGUAGUGUAUCUGUUCUGGAGCACGUUUAUUCGUGUGCUGCUCCAAAUCUCGGGCCAUCAGAAGUUGGCAGAGAUGGUCGGAGGUGUACUGGAAGCUUGUAUAAGACAUACGCCACCGAGAUACAGAGGGAAUGCCUGCUUCACUGUCCUGCGCACGUGUACACAUAAACUCGGGACUUCUAGGUGCUGUUGGUAAGAUUCACAUGUGGACGUCGACCUGGGAACACAGCAGACGUGGGAACCAUAUGCAUGAAAGAAAACAAAAAUGAAGGUCAAGUGGAAGGACGGCAUAAAACCUCUUGACUCGCUUAUGUUCUGCCCAUUGUGACUGGACAAGAUUGCUUGGCGCUGGUGGUGGAUAAGGGACCGGCGCCUUCCUUGACAACAUACCUGUAGGACGUCUGGAAAGACAGGAACGGAUUAUCCAAGAUGUUCUCUUCAGAGACGGACGGGGCAUUGUGUGAGACCUAUCUUCCAUCUUGCAGUGGUCACGUCCUUGACGGAAGUGAGCUUCUAGAUCGCCCAUAGAUAAUGGAUCCCAUCGUGUCUUCAGCGGAUGAUACGAUUGGAAUUGUACCGUAAGUAAGACAAUCGAUGUCUUUUUUUUCUUUUUUUGCCUGUACUAGGACGGAACUGCGAUCGCCAUUAUCUUUUUUAUUUGAUUCCGUGUUAACGCCGCGAAGCAUAUCUGUGGCUAUUAACGGCAUACAGACGCGAACAGAUGAAGCG
Molecule: long non-coding RNA, 863 nt
Organism: Ornithodoros turicata
Lineage: Eukaryota; Metazoa; Arthropoda; Arachnida; Ixodida; Argasidae
Exons: 5
Source: RefSeq, a predicted model, not a curated record